GGGGAAUCUUGCACAAUGGGCGAAAGCCUGAUGCAGCGACGCCGCGUGCGGGAAGGAGGCCCUCGGGUCGUAAACCGCUUUCAGCAGGGACGAGGCCGCGAGGUGACGGUACCUGCAGAAGAAGCCCCGGCUAACUACGUGCCAGCAGCCGCGGUAAUACGUAGGGGGCGAGCGUUGUCCGGAAUUACUGGGCGUAAAGGGUGCGUAGGCGGCCAUAUAAGUCAGGUGUGAAAAACCACGGCUUAACCGAGGUAUUGCACAUGAAACUGUAUGGCUUGAGUACAGGAGAGGAAAGUGGAAUUCCUAGUGUAGCGGUGAAAUGCGUAGAGAUUAGGAAGAACACCAGUGGCGAAGGCGGCUUUCUGGACUGUAACUGACGCUGAGGCACGAAAGCGUGGGGAGCAAACA
RNAcentral lists this ribosomal RNA (408 nucleotides) under uncultured Eubacteriales bacterium. RNAcentral's name for it is "bacterial SSU rRNA". It matches the Rfam family "Bacterial small subunit ribosomal RNA", at positions 356 to 774 of the family's 1533-position model. The record is from RNAcentral. Lineage: Bacteria; Bacillati; Bacillota; Clostridia; Eubacteriales.